UGACCAACUUUCAACAUUGAAAUAUGGCUGAAAUAAGGUCAGUUGUUUUAAUGAAACAACGUUAAAAAUGUUUAAUGCUAAAUGGUAGAAAAAGGUUAACAAGCUUUUAAAUUAUUUAUAUUAAAUUAUUUAAAUUAAUUAUUUUAAUAGCAUUUUAAAAUAUUUUAGUCAUGAUACCUAUUCUAAAAUCUAAAGGUAUAUGUUAAAUAUUAUCAUCAUUAACAACAAUGAAACUAUAUACAUUUCGCUGCUUUAUCACACUGAAACAACUCCCAUUGGUAGUUUUAUUUUAUUACUUCUAUCAUGAUUGGUUAAUCUGGCUGUCAUUCAGGAAACUGGACAAUGAAUCGGUUCGCGCCUUUCUACAUUUAAAAAUAUGACCGUUAUUGUCGUCUUUCUGUGAGUGAGGCGGCUAACUGUGAGCUGCUGCUCGUUAUAACUGACUGCUCUAUCGGUCCCGAAUUAUUUCAUAUUUGCCUGUACAUUUUUUAUUUAUUUUGAGCGAAUUUGAGUCGUGACAUGUCAAUGGAGAACAAAAACCGUGAACACAAGAAGGGUCAGGUGUUCUGCGAGGUCCUGAAAACAUCCUGUCAAAAUGAGAGUCAUCGAGGAUCCAGCUUGUUCUUGAAACAUUGAAGUUUGCACUCUGCAAGUGAACGACGCCUUGUGGUGCCAUCCCAAAGAAGUUCACAAUCACUCUCACGGUCCUUUUCCUGGACUGUGCCCAGCUGGUGGAAUGACCUCCCAAUCUCAAUCCGAACUGCUGAGUCUUUACUCAUUUUCAAGAAACAUUUUAAGACUCAUCUUUUUCACCGGAACUUAACCAACUAAUGCUAGCACUUUUCCUUCUUUUCUUGUCUUUCAUAUAAAAAAAAAUAAAAAAUAAAAAAAACUAGAGCCCGACCGAUAUGGAUUUUUGGGGGCCGAUGCCGAUAUUAACUUGAAAAGAGCCGAUUUAUAAGCCGAUAUUUUGAUUUUGAAAAUAAACUGGAUAUUAGACCCAUUUCCUAUAAGCUGCACUCACAUAACAUUCAAUGGCAAAAUAUCUGCCUGUUCUAUGUAUGUGGGCUGUAUAAACCAUUUUCCAGAAGGGAUUUAUGUAAAAAAAAGCCUUAGAUUAUAGUCUCAAUGACUAAACAAUUGCACAUCAAAAGUAUAUAUUUUUUAACGAUCAAAAAACAGUCUGAUUUUAAACAUUUAACACUUUUACUUUCUUCCAGUUGAAGCUGAUUUUAACAGUCUGUGUGUGUACUGUAAAUAAAUUAUAAUACUAAAGUUAAAGUUAAAGUAUUUGCAGAAGUAGUCCCACACUUUUGCUGCUACAUCAUUCACCUUUUUCAGCCAUCUGUAGGGCAGAAAGAGAGACAUAGAAAGAAUAAGCAUGUGUAUUAAUAAUAUCACCAUGUAUCAUUACUCAUGUCAUCAUUAGAAUUAUAAUAAUAAUAAACAGGGAUCUCCUACAUAGGCAAAAAUGAGAAAUAUAUAUAUAUAUUUUUAUUUGUCAAGCAAUAGGUAUUAACCUCCUUAUAUUUAACAAUAUUAUUUCAACAUUUUCCUGUUAUGUCUGUAAAGCUGCUUUGAAACAAUAUGUAAGAAAAAAAAAGAAAAGAAAAAAGCGCUUGUUCAGCUCACAUUUAUUUACAUGUCCCCUCUGAUUUAAUCAUUUCUGACGCACCUACUGUAGUUACUGUAACUACACUAUAUUUGCUCUCACAGACACAUUCACAACGGACCCGUAUAUCUUCUCCUCUUCUCUUUGUGCAGUCUGAAUCAAAAUGGUUAACGUUAGUGCCAUGAACACACCGCUGUCAAUUUUGAGAAGAACCACCUUCAAACAAGUUAAUAGCAAGCAUUUAAGGGGCCUGCUAAAAAGGAAGCUAUAUUAGCGUUAGAGUAACGUAACCAGCCUGAAUUCACCAAAUUGUUCCCUGGGCCUGAGGGUAGCCUCUUCUUCCUUGCUUCUCUCUUAAUUCUCAUCAGCAGGACUAGCGCUAUCGCUCGCUUCUUACAACGGGACAGAUACAUGUUUGCUGCUGACCGAAAAGAGGAACAACAGACUAUGAAAGAGCUCCCGCUAAAAGUUUUUAAAACUCCGCCUACGCCAUAGCGCAGAGCAGGGCAAAUCGCGUUGUAUCUGAAGGGCAACGCUAAACCCAGCGGCCAAGCGCUGUGCAUACCGCGUCCUGUGUGAAAGGCCCAUUACGCGGUCAUUAUGUGGGAAACACACCGCAAUAGAAUAAGCACUAAACGCUAACUUUAUAGUUCGACCUCUUAUUAACGUUCGCGCUCUUCCACUGAUAAACAUGGUAUUAGCUUUGUGGCUAAUCUAAUAUAGCAAUGCAUUAGCGGCUGUAAGUGAUGUUACAGAAUAUUUAGAAGUGAUAAUGAUAGGACCGUUAACUAGAACUACCACACCGUUUUUAUAUACAGUGUAUGAACUAAAUCUACAAUCAUUUCACAUGACGAACGACAGACUCACCUGGGUGGCUUGGCUGAUCGCUUUCUUCUUUGUGGAUUUCUGGCGCUGUUGCAACUCUGGAGCUGCAGACCGCCCUCUGGUGGGCAAACUAUGCAACACUCAUAACAUGAGUGAAGAAUAUGAGACUGUUUCUCAUGUUUCAUCGGCCGUUAUAAACGCCGAUGCCGAUUUAAAUGCAAUUAGCUCAUAUCGGCCGAUAAUAUCGGCCGGCCGAUAUAUCGGUCGGGCUCUAAAA
Long non-coding RNA from Carassius gibelio (silver crucian carp), 2714 nucleotides. RefSeq lists it as uncharacterized. The transcript is spliced from 3 exons. The record is from RefSeq and is a predicted model, not a curated record. NCBI's taxonomy places the organism in Eukaryota, Metazoa, Chordata, Actinopteri, Cypriniformes, Cyprinidae.